AUAAAUCAACAUUUUGUGCUGACCGUGAGGGACAGAGGCUGACCAAUCUGAUCAAUGAUUGAACAACACCAGUUUGCGUUCCUACGUAUUUUUACUUGUACACGUGAGCUUGCCUCACCGUUAUAGUUCUGACACGGACGUCCGGGU
RNAcentral lists this ribosomal RNA (147 nucleotides) under uncultured Amoebophrya. RNAcentral's name for it is "partial Trypanosomatid mitochondrial large subunit ribosomal RNA". The record is from RNAcentral. Lineage: Eukaryota; Dinophyceae; Syndiniales.